Molecule: long non-coding RNA, 8118 nt
Filed under: Sus scrofa (pig)
Lineage: Eukaryota; Metazoa; Chordata; Mammalia; Artiodactyla; Suidae
Description: lncRNA (ENSSSCG00025062405.1)
Source: RNAcentral
AGGGACAAACACUGUUUUCUUGACUGAUGGAUGUCGUUAGGUGGUUCUAGAUGGUGAGUUGGUUUCAUGGGGACAAGCCCAUUGCCGUACUUUCCAUCCUGUGGAAUGAGUUCCUUGACCAGAAGCAAUGCCGUGCAGAACUGUCAUGGUGGAUAAGACAUUCUGUGAGUCUAAGAACGGUAGUGCUUGCAGCCAUGUCGUGAACAGGAAAGGCAAAUUCAUAUCCAGAACAUGUGUCUGCUCCAGUGAGGGUAGAUCCUGCCACCUCCAUUACGAAGUGGUCUGAUGUAAUUAACUGCUGUCAGGUGUUUGGCUGUUUUCCUUGGGCAAUGGGAUCAUGGGGACUCAGUGUUGGUCUCUGCUGUUGGCGGACCAGGCACUCAGUAGUAGAGCUGGCCAGGUCAUCCUUGGUAAGAAGAGGUCCUUGGCAUUAAACCCUUGCAUAACCCUCGUCCCUGCUACCACAGCCACUCUGUUUAUCAGCCCAUUGAGUGAAUACUAGGAUGACUGGGAAAGGGGGCUGACUGACAUCCACCAAGCAUGUCAUUUUGUCUAAAUGACUAUUUAGAGCCUUCUCUGCAGUGGAUGUCCUUUAAAUGACAUGGGACAGUAUCUUUAUGGUCUGUGAUGAUUCUGAGAAGUCCAUGAACCUCAUUCCUAGAAUUUCUUGUCACAGAUCUCCCACCCUUCUCCUUCUAAUUCACUGACCAUCCAGCCAAACCAUCGGCGACUGCCCACGAAUUAGUGUAGAUUCAUACUGUGAUCUGGCUUUUCACACUCAGAGCUCUGCCAAACUGGAAGAUGUCUUCACUAUAUUUCUUCAAGAUCCUGAAUAGGGCUGUAAUCCACAGCCAUCCACUGUUUGAUGGUAGCAUGCAGACUCAUCCAUAAACCAGGCUUGAAUUUGUUCUUCAGCAAAUGGUUCAUAUAAAACUCCCCAUGAGGCCACAGGCAGGGACUGAAGGGUAAGAGGCAUCGCCAAAGGAGCUUGAUCUACCUGCUCAUGCAGCUUACCUAUACCUCUGGACCUGUCCAGUCCAUUAUAUACCACCUCCCUUUAAAUGGCUGCUGCCCACACCUGAAGUUCUGGCCAGGGGGCAAGGCAACAUCCAGUCCAUGAUGAGAAGUUCAGGUUACACGGUCACCUGAUAUACCAUGCUUAGACAUUAUAGAUCUUCCUUGACUUAUGACGGGGUUAUGUCCUGAUAAAACCACUGUAAGUUGAAGAUAUCAUUAAGUAGAAAUUCAUUUAAUACAUCUAGCCUACUGAACUUCAGAGCUUAGCCUAGCCUACCUUCAAUGUGCUCAAACAUGUCCAUUAGCCUUCAGUCAGGCAAAAUCACAAAACCCAUUUUAGAACACAGUGUUGCGUGUUCCCGUCAUGGCUCAGCGGUUAACAAACCCAACUAGCAUCCAUGAGGACGCGGGUUUGAUCUCUUGCCUCCCUCAGUGGGCUACAGAUCUGGCGUUGCUGUGAGCUGUGGUGUAGGUUGCAGACACGGCUCGGAUCCCGCAUUGCUGUGGUUCUGGUGUAGGCUGGAAGCUACAGUUGCAAUUUGACCCUUAGCCUGGGAACGAACCUCCAUAGGCUGCUGGUGCGGCCUUAAAAGACAAAAAAAAAAAAAAAAGAAUACAGUGUUGAUGAUCUCGCAUAAUUGAUUGCAUACUGUACUGAAAGUCAAGAACCGAAUGUUUGUGUGGGCAGAGCAUGGUUGUAAAGGCAUCGAUUGUUUGCCCUUGUGAUCACAUCGUUUACCCUCACUGCCACUGCCAGGCAUCACAAGAGAGUACAGUACCACUAACCCUAGCCUGGAAAAGAUUAAAAUUCAAAAUUCAGUGUCUGGUUUCUACUGAAUGCAUAUCCCUUUUGCACCAUCAUAAAGUCAAAAAAUUAAGUCAAAUCAUCCAGUCAGGGACCAUCUAUGGUACCUACUAAGGCCCACUAGCAAGAAAGAAGCUAUUUAUCAAAAACGGAAUAGUUAUUUCUAGAAGGCAUAGAUUUUUUGCGCUCAAAGACUAAAGAGUCUAUGUGAUGGUUCUUCUAUUGGUACUUGUCAAAGUCUCCACUCUCUGAAACAACCUCAUUGCCUGCAUUUGCUGGCUCUUAAAGCCCAAGUGGAGGAGUUUGGAAACGGCUAUAAGGACCACAUGGAGCAGGACUGCGUGUCAAGUCUGGAUACUUGAUGUUAAGGCAGGUAGGAGGCAAGCGGGGAGAGCAAACCAUCAGGAGUCUGCCAGGCACCUACCUAGAGGUCAAGCACCUGGGGCUGGAUGCACAUGUCUAAUCUGUGCUGGACAUGCCCAACUCUGCCUCAGACUGUCCCGGGUUUAAGUUAGUCUCUACCUGGUGUCUAACAAUCUCCCCAUCGCUCGCUGAGCCCUUCUUGGCGCCAGAACAGUGUUGGGGGCUCAGUAUAUGUCAUUGUAUUUAAUCCUAAGACAACUCUGCAGACAGUUGUUAUUGUCCCUAUAUGCAGACGAGGAGACUGAGGCACAGCGCAGUGUACCGACUUGUCCAAGCCACUCUGCAGUUACACGCAGAGCCAGGAUCAGGCCCUGGCUGUCUGAGCUGGAAGGCAGAGGUGCUUUGACAACAGGUCUCGCUUGAGCCACCCAACCACGCAGAACCUCAGUUUCCUUAUGUGUGAAAUGGGGGGUGGUCACUCUGUAGCAGGUGUUUGUGGAGCAGGUACAUAGCUGGCUUUGGGAACAGUAAGUCCUGCUCCAUGUGGUUUGUGGGUGGAUGAAAUACAGUGGGUUUAUAAUUUGCCCAUUCCUGCAUCAGACACAGAGUAGAAUCUCAACAAACUAUAUUGCUUUUUCUUUUUCUUUCUUUUUUUUUUUUUUUUUUUAAUGGCUGCCCCUGUGGCAUAUGGAAGUUCCCAGGCUUGAGGUUGAAUCAGAGCUGUAGCUGCUGGCAUUCACCACAGCUCACAGCAACGCUGGAUCCUUAAUCCAUUGAGCAAGGCCAGUGAUUUAACCAAAAUCCUCAUGGAUACUAGUUGGGCUUGUUCCCACUGAGCCACAGUGGGAAUUCCUGCUCUUUCCUUUUUUAAAAUCCAUAGCUUCUUGCCAUCACGGGCUCAGUCAUUCUCUGCCUGGCAGGCUGAAACCUUCCCCUGCUCACACUUCUGCGCUUUAUGUGCUGAUAACAUGGUUCUAAUUCAUUUAUAAACAUUGGGGUAUCUUCUGCAGUCAUCAUCUUUUAGAGGAAUAUGAAUUGUCCUUACCAUCUGACAAACUUGCAAUGGUUCUAAGGCUCAGAUGUGGUGCUGUAGGCGGGAGAUAAGGGGAGUCUGAAGAGUCUUGGAUUCAUUUCCUUAGGCUAGGUAAGAAAUUAACAAAAACCAUGGGACUUAAAGCAACAUACACUUAAUCUGCCACCUUUCUGGAGGCUAAAAUCUGCUUCAUGCUCCUUCCCCGGCUUCUGAGGCUGCCAGCAGCCCUGGCCUUUCCUUGGUUUGUGGAUGCAUCACUCUGAUUUCUGCCUCUGUCUUCACAUGAUCUUCUCUGCCUGUUUCCUCUUCUGUCUCUUAAGGAUACCUGUCACUGGCUUUCAGGCCCACCGUAAUCCAGACUGAUCUCAUCUUGAAAUCCUUGCCUUAAUUACAUCUGCGGAGACUCUUACUCUGAGGCUCCGAGGAGACGUGUCCUUUGGGAGUCACUCUCCAGUCCAGUACCAGUCUUCUCACUGAGCAUCCCUUCUGCCUGGCCUGAUGCAAGUCACUCUCCCUCCCUGGGUCUCCAUUUCUCUUGGGCCAUCUCUAAAUCAUUCCUAUUUAGAAUAUUCCACCCGGGUGAAAAUCCUAGGGAGGGGUCAGACCCAACUUUCCUCAUUCAACACUCACGAUCCUGCCUGGGUGGGGCGCAGGGCUGUACCCCAGGGAGAGAGGUGACCUUCAGCCUCGUUCCCCCCCCACCUCUGAGAACAAAGGCUAGAGAGAAAGUGGACUUUAGGGGAAGUGAUUACAGUGACCAGAGUGAGAGUUCCCUGAGGCUCAGUCCUGCUUCACCACACCAUCAGAGAGCCUAGCCCCGAGCAGGAAGUCUUUAUUGAUGCAUUUUUCAGCUGGUAAGAGCUAUGAGAGGAUGCCCCAGAUGACUGUUUUCAGAACACAGAGAGCCAACUGGCUGUGCCUUGGAGGGUCCAGAUGGCUUCUCAGUGGAGGUGGUGCUCAAGCUGAGGCCUGGAGAAUGAGUGAUAGUGAACUGAGGUGGGGCUGGAGGGGGCUCUGAUGCUGCCCCAGGUGCACAGGGCAGAGGCGAGAGACAGCUCAGCCUUCUCUAGGGCAGAGAAGGGGCUCAUAAUGGCAGUAUAGGAGGUCACACAACUUGCCUCAGUCUAGUCCCUCCUAGAAGGUAGGGCUCAGACAACUGCUAGGAGCCAUACCCCAGAGCUGUUCUGGUGACAGCACUCCACUCUGCCAUCUUGACACCAUCGUGUGCUAUUAGAUCACAGUUACAGGAAUGUGUGUUAUCAUCCCCAUUUUAUAGAUGAAAAUGAGAUAUAUCAGUUCCUACUGCUGCUGUAACAAAUGGUCACACACCUGGUGGUUUAUUUUUUAUUUUUUUAUUUUGGCCUUUUUGCCUUUUUGAGGGCUGCUUCCCAUGGCAUAUGGAGGUUCCCAGGCCAGAGGUCGAACCGGAGCUGUAGUCACUGGCCUACGCCAGAGCCACAGCAAUGCGAGAUCCGAGCAGCGUCUGCAAACUGCACCACAGCUCACGGCAACGCCAGAUCCUUAACCCACUGAGCAAGGCCAGGGAUCGAACCCACAACCUCAUGGUUCCUAGUCGGAUUCGUUAACCACUGUGCCACGACGGGAACUCCCACUUGGUGGUUUAAAACAGUGCAGAUAUAUUCUCUGGCCAUUCUGGAAGAAGGAACUCCAGAGUCAGUCUCACAGAGCUAGAGUCAAGGAGUCAGCAGAGCUGGUUCUUUCUGGAGGCUCCAGAGGAGAAUCCAUUCUUUGCUUUUUCCAUUUAUAGAGGCUGCCCACAUUCCUCAGCUCACCGCCCCUUCCUUGAUCUUCAAAGCCAGUCUCAUAGUCUCUUCAAAUCUCCUCUGACCUUGUCCUCUGCUUAUGCCAUUGUAUAUCCUUCCCUUUCCCGCUUCUCUCAUGUUCCCUGACUCUGACCCUCUUGCUUCCCUAUUAUGAGGCCCACUGUGCUGACAUUGAACCUACCUGGAAAGUCCAGGAUACCCUUCCCAUCUCAAGACCCUUAAUUUUCCCUUGUGAGAUCACAUAGUCACAGUUUCUGGAGAUUAGGACAUAGACAUCUUUGGGGGGGGGUGAUCAUUAUUGAAUUUACCACAGGAGGCUUCGAGGUGGUUAGAUAUAUGUCCCAAGAUUAGUAUACAGACCACUCAGCACUGUCCAUUGCACCACAGCUCCUCUCUCCCCUUCUGCCAGGAAAUCCUGAGCUGCCCAGUGAACCACAGCCCAAUUUCAGACUCGGAGGGCAGAUCUGAGUUAAGUUCUCCCAAGGCAAUUGGCCUAUGGGACAGAUAUCGCAACAAGUAUUAUAUUUGAAGCAAAUGAUCCUGCAAAACCAGCAGGUCCUGGCUCAGAGAACUGGAGGAUGAGGUGCCGCAUCCUGAUGGGUGGAUGGAUUGUGGGAGGCCAAAGGGAGGGUAGGGCUGGCAGGUGCCCAGACAGGUGGGAAGAUGAGAUGGAGGAGCCAUGGAAAGAUAGCACAGUCAGGUGGAUUGGGGGCAGGGAAGAGAGACAAAAGGAGGAGGAGCUGACUGGGGAAGGAUGGACUCAGACACCUGGGGACUAUGGUAUCAGGUAGACCUUGGGCUUGAAACUCAGCUCUGCCACUUCUCACGGAUGCUGCAUCUGCCUAACCUCUUUGAGCUGCAGUCUCUUCUCUGUGAAGUGAAAAAUCACACCUCUUAAGGCUGUUAUAUACCACUAUUAUGUGUAUGCUACCUUUUUAUACACAUUUUUGUACUUUUACCAUAAAUACUAUGCAGUGUUUUUUCAGUGUUUUCAUUGAUAUGAUAACAUAUGGUAAAUGUAAUUUUACAUCCAUUUUAACCCAAAAUUAAUUGUUAAAGAUAUACCCAUAAUGAAUGAAUGAAUGAAUGAGAGCAAUUACAGAACAAGCCCUAAGGUGGGAAAACUUUCUUCAAUUGAUGAGCACCUCAUUGACUGGGGAGGAUUUCAAGCACAGGCCAAGUCAUCUUCUUGUGGCUCCUCCAUCUCCUGGGGACCUUCACACCUCUGCCUGGAGUAUUUGCUGGCCCCCUCCCCACUCUGGCUUUUUGGAGUCUGUCCAUCCUUCAGCCAGGACACUUCCUGAAACCAUCUCCAGUUCUUAGGCUCACAGAUGCUGGUGGGGGGGAGUGAAUGCUUCACAAAGAGUAACUAAAAACAGCAACAACAGUGCAGCUUGGCAAUUACACUACAAGUUAAGGAUGGAUGGACAUCCUGUCCAACACACAUAGUCACAACACCCUGACUACUCCCUCCAAGUCUGCCCCAAAUUAAUCUUGCCUAUAAAGAGCUCCAUUUCUCCAGAGGAAGAGCCGCUUUAUUAGAGAAGCCCCUUCUCCAUAAAGAUAGAACAAGCAGACCAAUAAACCUUCCCUGGUUUCGGCAUCACUUUGGAAAUCGAUGUGCUAUGAUUGCGAAUCCAGCCUCUGUCAGCAGCCGCCUAAUUUUAGCUGGAUCUUUGCGGGCUUCUCACCGGGCUCAUCCGCCCCCAUGGACUGGCAGAGCGGUUCCCAGAGCAUCAUUGAUCUUUUGACUAAAGUGUCCUAAUGAAAUACAAAUCUGUUGUCACUUAGAGAGCCAUCUGUCAUGGCAGCACAGAAGAAAUGCUACCAGGAGAACAAUAACCAUAAUUUCAUUUUAAGACCCAGCCUUCUUCUCCCCUUUCCUGCCCCCAAAAAAAGUCAAUAUCUUUCACUGUUUCAUUUUGUCACAGAGCAAUAAGAGGAAAGCCAUCCAUAGGGCGUUAAAGAUGUUUCCAAUUAUGUGCAAAUCCUCUGUUAUAAGGGCCCUUGGCCUCUUGGAGUAGUUAGCACCUAUUUGCAUAAAGGGAGUUAGCCAAAGCUUAUUCUGUGUUCCUGUCUUGGGGCAUCCUGCCCAGGUAAGUGACAGGUGUGCAGUGUUCUUGGAGUCCUGGGGUCACAAGUACCAGCCUUACAGAGCAUCAGGCCUUUCCCGGGGGGGAAUGGUCAAAAUAAGCAAAGUUUUUUUUUUUUGUUUGUUUUUGUUUUUUUUUUAAAUGCAGAAUAAAAUUUUAUUUUAUUUUAUUUUAUUUUUAUUUUUUUAUUUUCCCACUGUACAGCAAGGGGGUCAGGUUAUCCUUACAUGUAUACAUUACAAUUCCUUUUUUCCCCCACCUUUUCUUCUGUUGCAACAUAAGUAUCUAGACAUAGUUCUCAAUGCUAUUCAGCAGGAUCUCCUUGUACAUCUAUUCUAAGUUGUGUCUGAUAAGCCCAAGCUCCCGAUCCCUCCCACUCCCUCCCCCUCCCAUCAGGCAGCCACAAGUCUCUUCUCCAAGUCCAUGAUUUUCUUUUCUGAGGAGAUGUUCAUUUGUGCUGGAUAUUAGAUUCCAGUUAUAAGUGAUAUCAUAUGGUAUUUGUCUUUGUCUUUCUGGCUCAUUUCACUCAGGAUGAGAUUCUCUAGUUCCAUCCAUGUUGCUGCAAAUGGCAUUAUGUCAUUCUUUUUUAUGGCUGAGUAGUAUUCCAUCGUGUAUAUAUACCACAUCUUCCGAAUCCAAUCGUCUGUCAAUGGACAUUUGGGUUGUUUCCAUGUCCUGGCUAUUGUGAAUAGUGCUGCAAUGAACAUGCGGGUGCACGUGUCUCUUUUAAGUAGAGUUUUGUCCGGAUAGAUGCCCAAGAGUGGGAUUGCGGGGUCAUAUGGAAGUUCUAUGUAUAGAUUUCUAAGGUAUCUCCAAACUGUUCUCCAUAAUGGCUGUACCAGUUUACAUUACCACCAACAGUGCAGGAGGGGUCCCUUUUCUCCACAGCCCCUCCAGCACUUGUUAUUUGUGGAUUUAUUAAUGAUGGCCAUUCUGACUGGUGUGAGGUGGUAUCUCAUGCAACUGACAAGGGCUUAAUCUCUAGAAUAUAUAAACAACUUAUACAACCCAACAGCAAAAAAA